Molecule: ribosomal RNA, 497 nt
Filed under: uncultured bacterium
Lineage: Bacteria
Description: partial 16S ribosomal RNA
Rfam family: Bacterial small subunit ribosomal RNA
Source: RNAcentral
GAUGAACGCUGGCGGCGUGCCUAAUACAUGCAAGUCGAGCGAACGGACGAGAAGCUUGCUUCUCUGAUGUUAGCGGCGGACGGGUGAGUAACACGUGGAUAACCUACCUAUAAGACUGGGAUAACUUCGGGAAACCGGAGCUAAUACCGGAUAAUAUUUUGAACCGCAUGGUUCAAAAGUGAAAGACGGUCUUGCUGUCACUUAUAGAUGGAUCCGCGCUGCAUUAGCUAGUUGGUAAGGUAACGGCUUACCAAGGCAACGAUGCAUAGCCGACCUGAGAGGGUGAUCGGCCACACUGGAACUGAGACACGGUCCAGACUCCUACGGGAGGCAGCAGUAGGGAAUCUUCCGCAAUGGGCGAAAGCCUGACGGAGCAACGCCGCGUGAGUGAUGAAGGUCUUCGGAUCGUAAAACUCUGUUAUUAGAGAAGAACAUAUGUGUAAGUAACUGUGCACAUCUUGACGGUACCUAAUCAGAAAGCCACGGCUAACUACGUG